Oryctolagus cuniculus (rabbit) is the source of this 1308-nucleotide long non-coding RNA. RefSeq lists it as uncharacterized. The record is from RefSeq and is a predicted model, not a curated record. NCBI's taxonomy places the organism in Eukaryota, Metazoa, Chordata, Mammalia, Lagomorpha, Leporidae.
CAAGCAAGCAAGUGGUUGUCAGUGCAGCUAGUAAAUCACCUGAUCCUAUUACAAAAUCAAUUACUGCAGUGCAUUUCCAUUGCUACACAAUCUGACGAUGACAAAAUGAUAUUGGAUAGCUACUGCAAGGUCAAGACAACUGCUAAGAACAUCUUUAAUUGGUCUUUUAUUUUUAAUCAUUUGAUCCUAGUUAUAAUGCAUUCAUUUUACUUGUAUAUUUUUAUUUGAAAUAAAUCUAUGUAGUUACCUUUGGUUGCCUGGGACACUCGAUGGAUAAUCUCUGCACCUGGUCUGAUGUAUGGCUACAAGAGAACAGAUCGGAGCAGCAGGUCGAACGGCUCAACCUCUUCAUUAAAGAAGAAAUAAUGCUGCAGCCACAGCCACACAUUGACUUGCUCAUUAGAUGAGAAUUUGACUCUAAAAAUUGGAACCGGUAAUGUCCCAUAUAUACUCAAAAUGGGCUAACUGCCUCAUUCUGCAGCUCUCUGGCUGGAAGAAACACUGCUAAAAAAGAAUAAACAACAGCUUCCCUCCAGACGACACCAGCCACAAACUCAUCGCCAAGAAAAACUCAGCACGAAAAACAGAAGUCUCCUGGCCACUCUUUAGAGAAAAGGAAUGAGCCCCACCCCUCGGUGUCCCCACACACACCGUGCAAGAACCGCUCAAUAUCUGGAAAAGAACUGCUGCUGCAUUGCUUUGAGAAACAACAGGGAGCAAACUGCUGGAUGGAUUCUGUAACUUACCAAUCAGAACGGCUGACCUUUUAUGACUCGACAAUUCAAGGAGCCUGCCAAACCCUCACAAGGCGGUCUGUGUCCUGGCUGCUCUGCUUCUAAUCCAGCUCCCUGCUAUCUGCCUGAGAAAAGAAGUGGAAGAUGGCCCAAGUAUUUGGGCUCCAGUCAUCCAUGUGGAAGACCCAGAUGAACUUCCUGGCUCCUGACUUUGGCUUGGUCCUGCACUGGCCGUUGCAGCUACCAGAUAAGUGAACCAGCAGGUGGAAGAGAUCUCUCUCUCUCCCUCUUUCUCUGCAACGCUGUCUUUCAAAUAAAUAAAUCUUCAAAAGAAUGAAAAUUUAAAAAAGAGUGAACAUAUUAAGUCUUAAAUCCUUCAUUACAAAAUUAAAUGAAAACUAUCCUAAAGAACAGAAAUGUUCUACAAAAUCAAAUCUGUCACUUCUAUUUAAUAAAUGGGGGAUCCUGUAAAAUUUUAUUUGCAUAGUCAGUAAAAUUCAGGUCUAUCUAGAACCAGGUAGAGUCAUGAACCACAUAACAAUUCAGUCAAUGACAAACUUGCAUGUACAACAGA